CCUACGGGAGGCAGCAGUGGGGAAUAUUGGACAAUGGGGGGAACCCUGAUCCAGCCAUGCCGCGUGUGUGAAGAAGGCCCUCGGGUUGUAAAGCACUUUCAGUGAGGAAGAACGCCUGGUGGUUAAUACCCAUCAGGAAAGACAUCACUCACAGAAGAAGCACCGGCUAACUCCGUGCCAGCAGCCGCGGUAAUACGGAGGGUGCGAGCGUUAAUCGGAAUUACUGGGCGUAAAGCGCGCGUAGGUGGCUUGAUAAGCCGGUUGUGAAAGCCCCGGGCUCAACCUGGGAACGGCAUCCGGAACUGUCAAGCUAGAGUGCAGGAGAGGAAGGUAGAAUUCCCGGUGUAGCGGUGAAAUGCGUAGAGAUCGGGAGGAAUACCAGUGGCGAAGGCGGCCUUCUGGACUGACACUGACACUGAGGUGCGAAAGCGUGGGUAGCAAACAGGAUUAGUUACCCUAGUAGUC
This 465-nucleotide ribosomal RNA is filed under the name Vreelandella stevensii. RNAcentral's name for it is "partial 16S ribosomal RNA". It matches the Rfam family "Bacterial small subunit ribosomal RNA", at positions 338 to 795 of the family's 1533-position model. The record is from RNAcentral. Lineage: Bacteria; Pseudomonadati; Pseudomonadota; Gammaproteobacteria; Oceanospirillales; Halomonadaceae.